This 516-nucleotide ribosomal RNA is filed under the name uncultured bacterium. RNAcentral's name for it is "bacterial SSU rRNA". It matches the Rfam family "Bacterial small subunit ribosomal RNA", at positions 47 to 518 of the family's 1533-position model. The record is from RNAcentral.
CCUAAGACAUGCAAGUCGUACGAGGUGGCCCUUUGAACUCUGUACUUGUAUAGAGCGAUUGGAUUCCCACCUAGUGGCGAAAGGGUGAGUAACACGUGAGUAAUCUACCUCAGAGACUGGAAUAACUAUUGGAAACGAUAGCUAAUGCCGGAUGAUAUAUACAAUGAUACGUUGUUGUAUAGUAAAAGGGGCCUUUAAAGCUUCACUUUGAGAUGAGCUUGCGACGUAUUAGCUAGUUGGUGAGGUAAUGGCUUACCAAGGCGACGAUGCGUAGCCGACCUGAGAGGGUGAUCGGCCACACUGGGACUGAGACACGGCCCAGACUCCUACGGGAGACAGCAGUUAGGGAUAUUCGUCAAUGGAGGAAACUCUGAACGAGCAAUGCCGCGUGAGUGAUGAACCAGCUCUAUGGAUUGUAAAACUCUGUUGUUGGGGACGAACGACCUGUAUAGGAAAUGAUACAGGAGUGACUGUACCUUCCAAGAAAGCUCCGGCUAACUACGUGCCAGCCGCGGC